RNAcentral lists this unclassified non-coding RNA (244 nucleotides) under Hevea brasiliensis (rubber tree). Lineage: Eukaryota; Viridiplantae; Streptophyta; Magnoliopsida; Malpighiales; Euphorbiaceae. The record is from RNAcentral.
AGCAGUUGAAGAACCCAUGCGGCUGCAUUUACAAACCUCGGCAAAUUCAGAUUGACAAAAGUAAAGGGCAUAAAGAAACAACCAUCAAGGGAAUAUACUCCUACUCCUAUACAUAAGCCGGAAGUUUCAGUGCCAGAUCAAAUUAUUUAUUUCUCAAAUGAUAGUCAGAUACAUAACCACAUGACACUACAACUGUUCUUAUAUAGCUAACCAAUGUCAUUAAUAAAUCAAGCAAGUACAUCAG